This 308-nucleotide ribosomal RNA is filed under the name uncultured bacterium. RNAcentral describes it as "partial 16S ribosomal RNA". It matches the Rfam family "Bacterial small subunit ribosomal RNA", at positions 505 to 807 of the family's 1533-position model. The record is from RNAcentral.
GAGACAGCAGUCGCCACGGUAAUACAGAGGGUGCGAGCGUUAAUCGGAUUUACUGGGCGUAAAGCGUGCGUAGGCGGCUUUUUAAGUCGGAUGUGAAAUCCCUGAGCUUAACUUAGGAAUUGCAUUCGAUACUGGGAAGCUAGAGUAUGGGAGAGGAUGGUAGAAUUCCAGGUGUAGCGGUGAAAUGCGUAGAGAUCUGGAGGAAUACCGAUGGCGAAGGCAGCCAUCUGGCCUAAUACUGACGCUGAGGUACGAAAGCAUGGGGAGCAAACAGGAUUAGAUACCCGAGUAGUCCCUGUCUCUUAUAC